UCCGUGCAAAGGUAGCAUAAUAAUUUGUUUUUUAAUUGUGAACUAGAAUGAAUGAUUAAACAAAAUAAAAUCUUUUUUAAUUUAGUUAAUUUGAAUUUAACUUUUAAGUGAAAAGGCUUAAAUUUUUUUAUAAGACGAUAAGACCCUAAAAUUUUUAUAUAUUUUUUUAAUAGUAGAAUAAAUUAAUGUUAAAGAAUUUAGUUGGGGUGACUCUUAAAUAAAAUUAUUAAUUUUAGGAUCUUUGAAACUUUAUGAGGAUUGCUGAUUUAUUAAAAAUAAAUAAGGUUUAAAAUACUUUAGGGAUAACAGCGUAAUUUAUUUUUAAGAUCUUAUUAAUAAAUAAGUUUGCGACCUCGAUGUUGAAUUAAAA
RNAcentral lists this ribosomal RNA (370 nucleotides) under Lernaeodiscus rybakovi. RNAcentral's name for it is "partial large subunit ribosomal RNA". The record is from RNAcentral. Lineage: Eukaryota; Metazoa; Arthropoda; Thecostraca; Lernaeodiscidae.